This 584-nucleotide long non-coding RNA is filed under the name Diabrotica virgifera virgifera (western corn rootworm). RNAcentral describes it as "uncharacterized LOC126879676". Lineage: Eukaryota; Metazoa; Arthropoda; Insecta; Coleoptera; Chrysomelidae. The record is from RNAcentral.
CAUUAACAGCCGGUUUCCGAAACGUUAUUCAAAUCUUCGAUCAUCUAAUCGAGCUGUUAGAUUUGAUCAACUGUUAACCAGUGACCAGUUUCUCAAACGUCGAUCAUCUUAAAAUUAUAUGAUCGUAGAAAAUCGAUUAUCUGACAUACGAUUUGGUAUCGAUACUGUCACAAUCGGCUGUCAUCCUUCAAAAUUUCAUUUUAUAACCAAAAAAUUUCAAUCCAUAGUAAAUAACUACAUAAUUUAUAAAAUUAAAAAAUAUAUUAAAAAUGAGCAAUACCAACGGAAAUCCUCCACGCAAAAAUUAUACUGAGAGAGAGAAAUGUUUGCUGUUGGAAAUAAUUGGAAAAUACAAGCAUAUUAUAAUUGAAAACAAAUAAUGUACCAAUGCUAUGUCCAACAAACCAAAACAAUGAAACCUUGGAAAAAAUAGCGUUGAAUUUCCCAGAACUCCCAAGCAGCUGAACACUGCAUAUAUAAAUUAAAAAAGGGUCACUCACCAAAAAGUAGCAGAGGAAAAUAUUCAAAAAUAUAAUGAGCAGAAGGUUUUGGACCAGUUGAAGAGAGACCAAACUGCGGACAAA